AUUGAACGCUGGCGGCAUGCCUUACACAUGCAAGUCGAACGGCAGCACGGAGCUUGCUCUGGUGGCGAGUGGCGAACGGGUGAGUAAUAUAUCGGAACGUACCCAAGAGUGGGGGAUAACGUAGCGAAAGUUACGCUAAUACCGCAUACGAUCUAAGGAUGAAAGCAGGGGACCUUCGGGCCUUGUGCUCCUGGAGCGGCCGAUAUCUGAUUAGCUAGUUGGUGAGGUAAAGGCUCACCAAGGCAUCGAUCAGUAGCUGGUCUGAGAGGACGACCAGCCACACUGGAACUGAGACACGGUCCAGACUCCUACGGGAGGCAGCAGUGGGGAAUUUUGGACAAUGGGGGCAACCCUGAUCCAGCAAUGCCGCGUGAGUGAAGAAGGC
Molecule: ribosomal RNA, 385 nt
Filed under: uncultured bacterium
Lineage: Bacteria
Description: bacterial SSU rRNA
Rfam family: Bacterial small subunit ribosomal RNA
Source: RNAcentral